This 439-nucleotide ribosomal RNA is filed under the name uncultured bacterium. RNAcentral's name for it is "partial 16S ribosomal RNA". It matches the Rfam family "Bacterial small subunit ribosomal RNA", at positions 338 to 795 of the family's 1533-position model. The record is from RNAcentral.
CCUACGGGUGGCAGCAGUGGGGGAUAUUGCACAAUGGGCGAAAGCCUGAUGCAGCGACGCCGCGUGAGGGAAGACGGUCUUCGGAUUGUAAACCUCUGUCUUUGGGGAAGAAAAUGACGGUACCCAAAGAGGAAGCUCCGGCUAACUACGUGCCAGCAGCAGCGGAAAGACGUAGGGAGCAAGCGUUGUCCGGAAUUACUGGGUGUAAAGGGAGCGUAGGGGGGGUGGAAAUUAGAAUGGUAAACCCAUCGGCUCAACCGGUGGCUGCGUUCUAUACUGCCGUUCUUGAGUGAAGUCGAGGCAGGCGGAAUGCCUAGUGUAGCGGUGAAAUGCGUAGAUAUUAGAAGGAACACCAGUUGCGAAGGCAGCCUGCUAAGCUUUAACUGACGCUGAGGCUCGAAAGCGUGGGGAGCAAACAGGAUUAGAUACCCCGGUAGUC